UCUUCGGAUCCCUUUCAUAUCCAAGGAACUUAAUGUACCUGAGAAAGAUGUGGAGGAGCUGUUGGUCUCGCUAAUAUUGGAUAAUCGUAUACAAGGACACAUUGAUCAGGUGAACCGGCUCCUAGAACGUGGUAACAGGUCAAAGGGGAUGAAGAAAUACACUGCCGUUGAUAAGUGGAACACACAGCUUAGGUCCCUCUAUCAAACUGUUAGUAACCGAGUGUGUUAAUUUUUGGGAUUUUUUGAGAGUAUAUUAUAUUUGAAAAUUCACUCCUAGUCCUGGAAAACAAUAGAUUACAAGCAUUACAUUUACUUUUGCACCGAAGAUGUCCAUGGGUAGUGGAGAAGUGUCCAUUUACAGAGAUGUUGGCUCAAAUCUAGUUUAAAUGUUUUUGACAAAUUUGCUUA
Long non-coding RNA from Ipomoea nil (Japanese morning glory), 408 nucleotides. RefSeq lists it as uncharacterized. NCBI's taxonomy places the organism in Eukaryota, Viridiplantae, Streptophyta, Magnoliopsida, Solanales, Convolvulaceae. The record is from RefSeq and is a predicted model, not a curated record. The transcript has 3 exons.